UGUCCACAGGGCCACGUGUACAACUCCACAUCUCGUAUCAGGAAUCGGAAGGAGAAGCGAUCAUGGUUGGGCUUCGCUCAGGGGUAUUUGUUGUAUCGGGACACAAGUAACCACAGCAUGUCAGCUGUCAAGAUCAACCCAGAAACUUUGGAGCACGAGGGGACUGUCGCCAUGCCAGGUCACCACUCA
Molecule: long non-coding RNA, 189 nt
Organism: Thalassophryne amazonica
Lineage: Eukaryota; Metazoa; Chordata; Actinopteri; Batrachoidiformes; Batrachoididae
Exons: 3
Source: RefSeq, a predicted model, not a curated record